AUGUCUCCACCUCUUCCCUCCCCACUCCAGUUGACGGCUCAGCGUCCCUCUGGGCUUUCCUCCCAGUCAGGCUCAGACAGUGCUCCACAGUGUCUCCUGCUGGAGAGGCGUGGCGAAGCUGAAGCUGAAGCUCAGCAGGUUCAGGAGCGUACAGUGGAUAUCAGCUCCCCGCAGGACCAUGUGCCCUCCCAUCCAGGGUCACCAGUAGACCCCCUGGCUGAGAUGCUGGUCAAUGGAGACAGCCACACCAAAGCUCAAAGCCCUGCGGCAAGCCGCAUGUCUUCCCCACGCUGCCCUCGUUCACCGUGCUCGCCUCCUCCACGCACUGCAUCUUCCCCUCGUUCUCCUCGCAGCCCUGUGUUUGCCAAUGGCCGUCUUUCCCCUCCUGUUAACAACCAAAGGGAUCUAAGUAAUGGAAAUUUCCUCAAGCUAAAAGACAAUGAGAAUGACUCUAUCCCCACUCCCUGUGUCACAGAGCCUCAGUUGAAGGGGGAAGACCCUAGAGAAGUGAACCUGACCCCAGAACAGAUCACUAGCCCAGCCUCCUCCACCCCGCUGGCUGCCCCCCGUAAAGACCCAAGCCGCAGGCAAAGUCGAAUCCCUGUGUUGGAGCCCUCAGCCCUCCUGGAGCUCCCUCCACCAGGAUCCGCCAAGGAGAAGCUCUUACAAAAGAAAGCCAGCCACCAAGGCCAGGUCCCCUCACCCACUGCCUCGCCAUCCCUUUCUGAUAGGCGUGGCCCAAUGGUAGCCUCCCUCACUAGAGAUCCACUGUCCUCCACCUCUGACCGCUCUCAGGAAGAGGACUCUCUUAUGGGCUCCCGUUCUGACCGCCAGGGAGACGACGCUCCGUCUCUCUCCUCCUCCUCUAGCCCACUGUCCCGCAAAAGCAGGAUCCCUCGUCCCGUUCAGGCAGCUUCUUCUGCUGAGCAACUGGCUGCUCAAUUCAUGCCGCGUCCACCUCCUGGAAAACCACCGUGUCGCCCCACAGUGGAGGGCAGGCUUAGACGUUACCGCAUCCGAGCUGGCAGCACCAGUGACUCAGAACUGCUGACGUGUAUUGCUCAGCUAAUGCAUGGCUCCCGUGGCUCCCCCCUUCACCACCGCUCCUCUGCCCAGCACGGGGGCUCCAGGAUGGGCGUCUGCAGCCUGACGAGCUCUCCGCACCACCACCGCAGCUCGAGCGCCUCCCCCCGCAGCUCCUCCUCCCUGCAGCGCUCGGUCAGCUCCUCGCCCUCUCGCCACGAGCACCGUGGCGGCGGGGGAGGGGCUGCUUCGGCCGCAGCCGCUCACCCCCUAGCUUCUCCGGCUCGCCGCCUCCCCGCCGCUUCUACCCCCACCACCAGGAUACAUGCUGUAGCCGGCAGGCGCGCACGAGCCCGUUCCACCUGUCUAGAGGAAAAGGCUGCAGCAAAGAGAGCAAGUGCUCCAGCAAGCUGAGUAGAUAGAUCCCGACCAGGUUGAGUUGCCAUAGCAGAGAAGUUGUAAUAGGAUAGACAUCAGUCAGUGAGUCUUCCUGUAUAAUCAGUAAAAUAGUCUGAACUUUACUCCUCUCACAGUUUCUCAGUGUUCUCUUCGCUCCUUCUGUUUGUGCAUAGGCUUUGUCAUUCAGUAUGUGUCCAGCUUUCAAAUACCACCCCAGUGAUUGUAGUUUUGCACUAAGGCUGCCGGACUCGUGGAAAACAUAUUUUAAAAGAGACUUUUAUAAAUCUUUGUGGCACAAGCCGGGAUAUCCAGAAAUUUUAGUCCACCCCCAAAAAUGCUGCCUUUCCCAAAACUCUGAGGACAUUAAAUACUUGUUCACAAGCUGAAUGACGAUGCAUGACUAGCAGACUGAACUUGAAUUGGUGGAGUACGUCCUUUAUGAUAAUUUACCAAACAGGCAAUGUUGUGUCAGGGUCUUCUUUUCAUUUUUACAAUCAAUGCUGUAGUUUAAACUGUUCAUGCAGCGAUUUAAGACAUAAAUAAGAAGUUAGUUGGACCAGUGGGCACAUAUAUAAAAGUCUGUCCUGCACCGCAAUAUAUUAGAACUUAUUUAUCCCCAGCAUUAAUGCAUUCGAAUCAUACUGAUGGAAUUUGCAACUCUAAUUAUUGGCCGGGGGGCCUAACUCAGAUCAGGCAGGGUAUAACAUUUUCUUUCUGCUAAAUGUGAAUGCAUAAAAGGCAGAAUUUGUGUACAGUUUUAUUUAUUGAGAUAUUUAUUUUGAUGCUUAGCAAUGCUUACGACUCCUAUCCUCUCGCGUGUGAUCGUUAAAGUGUGGUUUUUGUGCAUUCGUUUUUAAAAUGAGGGGAUCGCUCAAAGUGACCCUUUAUACAAUCAGUCAUGUAAAGCAUGUGAGGACACACACCUUUUUGUGCCUACUGUGUUGCUGAGAGGGAAUCUGAAAUGUCACACUGGAGUGAAGGAAUUAGAGGUUAGACUUGUGAAGUUUUAGUAGCAGUAGUAAGUUUAAACGACUCAAGGUGCACUGACGUUCGUCUUAGCGCGUGCCUUGGCACUUCGGGCAGCUUGAAGAUUCACUUUGGUGUGUUUGUAAUUAGGGGAGGAAAAAAAACAACAACAAAAAACCAAGAGCCAAAAAACAGACUUGUGCCAGCGGUUAUAAGACAACCCUUUUCAUUCAUUUAUGUAGAAAAGGUAGCAACACAAAUGUUUGUUAAUCAAACAGAAUUUGAGCAGCAGUUUACUUAAGGACAAAGUAGCUAUUAUUUGUAACAAGAAAUAUUAGCUGUCCUGUGUACGUACCAGGCCAGUGUUUGAGAUAAAACUCUGAACAAAUGUGAAUUUCAGACCUCAAAAAAAUUUUUUUGUCAAAUGUUAUUGAAAACGGAGGGCAUAUGUACAUAUUUCUCACACCAAAACGAUGCUCCAUGCCUCCAUGUGCGAGAAUGUUUUAUUUCCGUUCCUGUUUCUCCUGCACCGGAGAAUGUCUUUUAUAUAACGGCAUACAGCAUACGGCUUGUGCACAAGGUAAAGAAGCCAGAGUGUUGUUUGUGUUCAGUUUUUAGUUAGGAUUCCUCACUGAAGCUCUCCUCCAUAACCUAUUCCCACUCCUCUGCUUGUAAGAUACUGUAAAAUAACUUCAGCUUCCUUCCAGUGCUUCUCUUUGCAUGCUCAACAGAGAAAAAAAAUCCAAAUCGACUACUGAGUAAAAAAGCUGCGUAACACUCAUCAUCACAUUUACCACAUUGGCCAUUUCCUGUUAGGCGAAUCUCUAAAUCUUCUUUGCCUCAUAUUAAAGAUUUGUUUUCUUACCUGAUGUUAGUUUUCUGCACCGACCUGGGAUGAUUCCAUCAUUGCAUAUAAUUGUAGUGACAUGCAAAAAUAAAAGGAGAAUAGACUUUCCUGCAUUUUACAGCCUUGCGUUGUACUCACGAGCUGAAAGCCUGAUGGUAGUCCCAGUCAUAAACCACAUUGCCAAAUAUUUUGAUAUACUUUGCAGUUUGAGUUGAGAUGAGAGCGUCUUGUUUUUGUCGAUAUUAAACAAUUUCGUCUGGCUCAUGUAGAUUUCGCAGGUACCUACGCUAGCCUCACAGAGCAGCUAUGAUGACUCAUCCUGAAGGCAGACAUCGUUCAGUCAGUCAGCCGCCUUAACGUCUCUUCUCUGCCCCUCUGUGCAUAGCGAGGGAUGACUGAGCCUUGUCUGUGUUGGAGAUCAUUCCAGUAUUAGGCCAAGCCAAGCCUUUCUUUCUCUCUCUUAUCUCUCGGUCUAUAAAUGGCAUGUGCUACCAUGCAAACCCUCGCCACUGAAAUCAGUGCUGACAGACUUCUGUGUCAGAGCCGGAGCGCUCCACUGUGAGAAUGUGUGGACCAUUUACUGAUUGACUGGUUGAAAUUGGAGAAUUUCAGGGUGCCGUAUUCAAGGUGUGUUUGCAGUGUGAUAGCUGUAUGCUUUCAAAUGGCUGUGCAAUUUAUGCGUCGCCAGCGAGCAGUCUUUGAAUUCCCCCUCUUUCAAGUCCCAAUUUCAAGGCUUUGAAGUUCAGAACGCUGUUGUGCAGACUUUUAAUAUAUACCUGUAAAAUAUUGAAAGUAAUAUUUAAAUAAUAUCAUUAUCGUACAAAUAUGACAUAUAUGCUAACGGGCUUCAAUGAAAGGGAAGAACAGACACUAAACAGUGUGCUGCUGAUUUUAAAAGAUAAUCAGAUUUCUUAUCAUGGGUUUUAUUAUUAUUAUCUCACAAGUGGUGUGUAGUCGUAGGAUUAGUGUUACCUUCCAGAUGAGAUUUUUCUUUGUCACUUUUAAAAGUGGCUCGCUAUUAGAAAGUGUCAUAUUUAUAGUAGCUUGUUGGGGUUUUUUGUGGUUACACAAAUCCACAGACCAACAGAAUAAAGCCAGCUGUUUUGUUUUAUUUUGAAAAGUGAGAUGGAAACUAAUAAAAGCUUUGGUGUGCUCUUGUACACUUCUCAUGUCAUGAUAUUGAAUUACUUAUAAAUACAUGACAGAAAUUAUUUAUUGUGACUUUUGCUAAUUUGCCCAUCUGUCAUUUUCACUUGAGUUGUUGGGAUUUUUUCAAUGGUUGAUAUUUUUGUGUUGUAAUGUAUGUCGUUGUUUUGAAAUGUAACUGUACAGUCUCAAGGAAAGAAUGUAACAAGCGGGAGUUUUGCAUUGUAUAUACCUGUAAUUAUUUAUGUUAAUUCUAUUAUUUGUAUCAUAUCAAUGCCUUGUACAGUGUUUUGUUUCUUUUUGUUUUCAAAUUAUUUUGUAUUUUAUUUUUAUAAACUGGUUACAAAUAAAAUACUCAUUCCGCAUGCAGAAAGAAUUUUGUGACAGAUUCCUGUUUAUAAUCCUGAAAUGUUGGACACUGAGCAAGCAUACGCAUAUUAAAAUUGCUAAUUUAUAAAGUGCUUCUUUUUAAUUGAAAUAAAACCACUGGGCAUUCAAACUGUUGUUUUUUUGAAAGAGACAAAAAAAAGCAUCCAACAAAACAUAAAAAGUAACUGAGUUAAUAACAUUGUGCUUUUAAGGUUACAUUGAGAAUUAAAAACAAGUAAAAAGGAUUUAUUCAUUGUUUCUUUUUUAUGUAAAUGUGGAAUUAGUCCCAAAAUUAAAUAAAAUAUAUCACAAUUUUUGAAGAUUGCAUUCAAAAGUCAGCAAUGCUUUGUGUAUCUUAAUACAAUAUGCUUUAGACUCAAUCAUGGGUCUCAAAUUUUAGAAGGUCUGGUUAAAUAAAUAAACAUAUAGAGAUAGACACC
Long non-coding RNA from Oreochromis niloticus (Nile tilapia), 5190 nucleotides. The record is from Ensembl. NCBI's taxonomy places the organism in Eukaryota, Metazoa, Chordata, Actinopteri, Cichliformes, Cichlidae.